RNAcentral lists this ribosomal RNA (255 nucleotides) under uncultured bacterium. Its description in RNAcentral is "partial 16S ribosomal RNA". It matches the Rfam family "Bacterial small subunit ribosomal RNA", at positions 524 to 776 of the family's 1533-position model. The record is from RNAcentral.
UACGAAGGGGGGCUAGCGUUGUUCGGAAUUACUGGGCGUAAAGGGCGCGUAGGCGGUGUGUCAAGUCAGGCGUGAAAGCCCCGGGCUCAACCUGGGAACAGCGCUUGAGACUGGCACGCUCGAGUUCGGGAGAGGAUGGUGGAAUUCCCAGUGUAGCGGUGAAAUGCGCAGAUAGUCGGGAAGAACACCCGUGGCUAAGGCGGCUCUCUAGUACGGUACUGACGCUGAGACGCGAAAGCGUGGGGAGCGAACAGG